This 253-nucleotide ribosomal RNA is filed under the name uncultured bacterium. RNAcentral's name for it is "partial 16S ribosomal RNA". It matches the Rfam family "Bacterial small subunit ribosomal RNA", at positions 524 to 776 of the family's 1533-position model. The record is from RNAcentral.
UACGGGGGGGGUAAGCGUUGUUCGGAAUUACUGGGCGUAAAGGGCUCGUAGGCGGCCAACUAAGUCAUACGUGAAAUCCCUCAGCUUAACUGGGGAACUGCGUGUGAUACUGGAUGGCUUGGAUUUGGGAGAGGGAUGCGGAAUUCCAGGUGUAGCGGUGAAAUGCGUAGAUAUCAGGAAGAACACCCGUGGCGAAAGCGGCUCUCUGGAACGGUACUGACGCUGAGACGCGAAAGCGUGGGGAGCGAACAGG